UACGGGAGGCAGCAGUGGGGAAUAUUGGACAAUGGGCGCAAGCCUGAUCCAGCCAUGCCGCGUGUGUGAAGAAGGCCUUAUGGUUGUAAAGCACUUUAAGCGAGGAGGAGGCUACUGAAGUUAAUACCUUCAGAUAGUGGACGUUACUCGCAGAAUAAGCACCGGCUAACUCUGUGCCAGCAGCCGCGGUAAUACAGAGGGUGCAAGCGUUAAUCGGAUUUACUGGGCGUAAAGCGCGCGUAGGCGGCUAAUUAAGUCAAAUGUGAAAUCCCCGAGCUUAACUUGGGAAUUGCAUUCGAUACUGGUUAGCUAGAGUGUGGGAGAGGAUGGUAGAAUUCCAGGUGUAGCGGUGAAAUGCGUAGAGAUCUGGAGGAAUACCGAUGGCGAAGGCAGCCAUCUGGCCUAACACUGACGCUGAGGUGCGAAAGCAUGGGGAGCAAACAGGAUUAGAUACCCUGGUAGUCCAUGCCGUAAACGAUGUCUACUAGCCGUUGGGGCCUUUGAGGCUUUAGUGGCGCAGCUAACGCGAUAAGUAGACCGCCUGGGGAGUACGGUCGCAAGACUAAAACUCAAAUGAAUUGACGGGGGCCCGCACAAGCGGUGGAGCAUGUGGUUUAAUUCGAUGCAACGCGAAGAACCUUACCUGGCCUUGACAUAGUAAGAACUUUCCAGAGAUGGAUUGG
This 683-nucleotide ribosomal RNA is filed under the name Acinetobacter sp. RNAcentral describes it as "bacterial SSU rRNA". It matches the Rfam family "Bacterial small subunit ribosomal RNA", at positions 340 to 1014 of the family's 1533-position model. Lineage: Bacteria; Pseudomonadati; Pseudomonadota; Gammaproteobacteria; Moraxellales; Moraxellaceae. The record is from RNAcentral.